UUCCGGUUGAUCCCGCCGGAGGCCACUGCUAUCGGGGUCCGACUAAGCCAUGCGAGUCAAGGGGGUGUCCCUCUGGGACACCACCGGCGGACGGCUCAGUAACACGUCGGUAACCUACCCUCGGGAGGGGGAUAACCCCGGGAAACUGGGGCUAAUCCCCCAUAGGCCUGAGGUACUGGAAGGUCCUCAGGCCGAAAGGGGCUUUUGCCCGCCCGAGGAUGGGCCGGCGGCCGAUUAGGUAGUUGGUGGGGUAACGGCCCACCAAGCCGAAGAUCGGUACGGGCUGUGAGAGCAGGAGCCCGGAGAUGGACACUGAGACACGGGUCCAGGCCCUACGGGGCGCAGCAGGCGCGGAACCUCCGCAAUGCGGGAAACCGCGACGGGGGGACCCCGAGUGCCGUGGCACCGCCACGGCUUUUCCGGAGUGUAAAAAGCUCCGGGAAUAAGGGCUGGGCAAGGCCGGUGGCAGCCGCCGCGGUAAUACCGGCGGCCCGAGUGGUGGCCGCUAUUAUUGGGCCUAAAGCGUCCGUAGCCGGGCCCGUAAGUCCCUGGCGAAAUCCCACGGCUCAACCGUGGGGCUUGCUGGGGAUACUGCGGGCCUUGGGACCGGGAGAGGCGGGGGGUACCCCUGGGGUAGGGGUGAAAUCCUAUAAUCCCAGGGGGACCGCCAGUGGCGAAGGCGCCCCGCUGGAACGGGUCCGACGGUGAGGGACGAAGGCCAGGGGAGCAAACCGGAUUAGAUACCCCGGUAGUCCUGGC
This 759-nucleotide ribosomal RNA is filed under the name uncultured archaeon. Its description in RNAcentral is "bacterial SSU rRNA". It matches the Rfam family "Archaeal small subunit ribosomal RNA", at positions 1 to 751 of the family's 1478-position model. The record is from RNAcentral.